GUGCUUGAAGUUAAAAAAAUUAUCUUGAAGUAAUUUAUCGAUUAGAAAUAUUACAUAACAUAUCUUAUAGCAGUAAAUUUAUCGUAAAAUAUUUUAAAAAGAAAAUACGAUUGUGGAAAGAAAAGGAGGCUGUGAUAUAUUUGUUUAUUGGAAACAUUAAGAUAAAUUUAAGUUUUCUGCGUAUGUUGUGAUUUAGUGUGAUAUUACGAAUAUUGUUCGAACAUUUUGUGGAAGUGGAAAAUAAUUUUGGAAUAAGUGAAGGUCUCUCUGAUCCACGUCAAGAAAUUUGGUACGUUUGUGUAUACUCCUGGCCGGUCCUUUUUGGCACAUCCAUCUCCCCAUGAAACCAAACCGACCACUUCGUAUCGUCCGUGGUUUUGACAAAUUAGUGGACUGCCUGAGUCGCCUCCACAUGCAUCAAUUCCACCUAGAAUUUUUUUAGGUAAGAUAGAAAUGGUACUUACUUGCCAUGGUACAGCACCGUAAGGAGGUUCCUCACCACCAACAAUCCUUGGUUCCCUCGUAGGAUGCCAGGCUACAGACCUUUUUCCACAA
Long non-coding RNA from Sitophilus oryzae (rice weevil), 555 nucleotides. RefSeq lists it as uncharacterized. Lineage: Eukaryota; Metazoa; Arthropoda; Insecta; Coleoptera; Curculionidae. The record is from RefSeq and is a predicted model, not a curated record. The transcript is spliced from 3 exons.